Molecule: ribosomal RNA, 460 nt
Filed under: uncultured bacterium
Lineage: Bacteria
Description: partial 16S ribosomal RNA
Rfam family: Bacterial small subunit ribosomal RNA
Source: RNAcentral
CCUACGGGUGACAGCAGUGAGGAAUAUUGGUCAAUGGACGCAAGUCUGAACCAGCCAUGCCGCGUGCAGGAAGACGGCUCUAUGAGUUGUAAACUGCUUUUGUACGAGGGUAAACGCAGAUACGCGUAUCUGUCUGAAAGUAUCGUACGAAUAAGGAUCGGCUAACUACGUGCCAGUAGCCGCGGUAAUACGGAGGAUUCAAGCGUUAUCCGGAUUUACUGGGUUUAAAGGGUGCGUAGACGGUCAGAUAAGUUAGAGGUGAAGUCCCGAGGCUCAACUUCGGAACUGCCUCUGAUACUGAUCGGCGAGAGAGUAGGUGCGGUAGGCGGAAUGUAUGGUGUAGCGGUGAAAUGCUUAGAGAUCAUACAGAACACCGAUUGCGAAGGCAGCUUACCAAGCUACUUCUGACGUUGAGGCACGAAAGCGUGGGGAGCAAACAGGAUUAGAUACCCGAGUAGUC